Molecule: long non-coding RNA, 438 nt
Filed under: Daucus carota (carrot)
Lineage: Eukaryota; Viridiplantae; Streptophyta; Magnoliopsida; Apiales; Apiaceae
Description: long non-coding RNA (DCAR_LNC005997)
Source: RNAcentral
AGGGUAGUAGCUAGGAAUGUUAUAACAUUAAACAUUCUGAACAUUGUAUCUGAAAUAUCGUUCCAUGGACUUCAUUCAUUGACACUUCUACUGCAAGUUUAAUUUCAAGAGGCUCAGGCAUCUGCGUCCAUAAUACCACCAAGGGACAUCAUUUACCGUCUUUGAAUCUUCAACCAAGUCUCGAGCUUGUCCAACCAAAACACGCCACAUGAAAUGUUAAAGCCGACACUCUACUGCGAGUUUAAUUUCAAGGGGCUCGGGCUUCUGCAUCCAUAACACCACCAAGGGACAUCAUUUACCGUCUUUGAAUCUUCAACCAACUCUCGAGCUUGUCCAACCAAAACACCACCACAUGAAAUGUUUAAAAGCAACAUACAAAGAACGCCAUAAAAUAUGUCUUCUGGAUUGUACUUAAUAAGGAGAUAAAAGCAACAUAUG